RNAcentral lists this long non-coding RNA (288 nucleotides) under Trifolium pratense (red clover). RNAcentral's name for it is "long non-coding RNA (TPRA_LNC013195)". The record is from RNAcentral. Lineage: Eukaryota; Viridiplantae; Streptophyta; Magnoliopsida; Fabales; Fabaceae.
AAGCCCAUUAGAAGCCAUCUGUAUAAACCGACAAAGCUCAUGCGGUCAUGCCUAUCCCCAUUCCCCAACCUGAAGAUAAGAGAACUUUAACAUGAACAGUGAAAACGCAGCAGGAAGGUGAAGGGUAAAGCUGAAAAUUAUUAUGUGACUUCCACAGAAUUGAUUUUAGUGGACGCAGAAGCUACACAUUCCAGCUUCGACUGAAAUUGAUUCUAAAACGAAGAAUCACGUUCCUAGCUUUGUGCCAAACAUCCUCCAAAUAACUUAAAAUCACGUUUGAAACUGUAA